This is a long non-coding RNA of Equus caballus (horse), 1551 nucleotides long. The record is from Ensembl. Lineage: Eukaryota; Metazoa; Chordata; Mammalia; Perissodactyla; Equidae.
CUCGAAGCGCGUCCGCGACCUGCAUGAGGCCACGUGACCGCCCCUUAGGGGUGAACACAGGAAGGCACCUCUGGACCAGCGUCCCCACCCUUCAUGGAGGAGGUGUCCCGGGUGGGCGAGGAGCAGCGCCCCCGCGCUCACUUCCCCCGCAGUAAGGCCACCUUGUAUCUGCUUUCCAGACGAGUUUUAGUGGCUGCACCAGUUUGUGUGGAAAGCAUAUCUGAUAUGAGGCCAGAAGACCCACCAGAGGUGUUCCAGGGAGGGCCCUGGGAUUACACUGAAGGCAUCAGGAUGCACUGAGGCCAGGUAGCAGUACAUGACCACCAGAAACCGGGAGGCUGCAAUGACUGUGAUGAGCAGCAAGAUGCGAGAAGAGACCAGCAAGGAAUUGUGGAGAUGGUCAUUAGAGUGUGGGCACCCAGUAGCGGUGCAGCUUAACAUCCACAACAAGCAAGAGUCCGAAGGGAUCUGAACUGCCUGGCCCUCCCACGGAACAUCACACUGGUCUCUUACACUGAUGAUGUCGUGCUGACCAGGGUUGCAGACCCCAGCCCAGAGGGGGAGUGCACUUUUGCCAGAUGCACAGCAAGUCCCAUGAACUACGAGGCAGAGGCCAGCGGGAAGCCUGGAGGCGCUGCUCCCUGGACCCGCGUGAAGAGAGAGAGCUAAAGUGCAAGGCUGGACUGUGACAGCCGUGGAAGCGCCUGCUGGGACCGCCGCCCCAGCUGCCACCCCUGUGGCCCCAUCACCAUGUUUGUGCUGAGGCUUCCUGCAGGCUGUUCCAGCUGCUGACCCAGCACAGCGGGGCCCUAACUGAAGCCCAUUCCACAGGGACAUCGGGACCCUCUGACAGACACCACGGCUCGGCCUCCCCACGGCCCCGGCUGGAGCUCUCUCAAGUCCGUGCUGCAGCCCGAGAGUCUGUCUGCCCAGUUCUUGCCCGUCUUCCUUCCCCAGUGGUCAGCCGUGCAUCAUGCCCUCCGCCUCAUCUCUCCUAAUCCAGCCUCAUCAUCUGCUUCUUUGAGGCUGUGAACUAACAGAGAUGCUCUUUGGAUUUAAAAGCUCUACCGCUGGACCAUUUCUCAAGGGGGCGAAGGUCUCUAAAGAAGUUUGAAAAUAUUAGAACAAAAUCGAUUUAGCUUUCUGGAAACUCAGUGUGCUGUCCUCAUUUUUCUUAUUUGCUACAGGGCCCUGAAAGAUCCAGUAUGGCCUGGGAAUAGUUUGAUGGCUGGCACUGAGAGCCACAGGCGUAAAAAUCGCCCCCCUCACCCGACCCCGGGCUCCCCUGGUCCCCCACAUGGACGUCCUCCUUAGGGUGACAUCCUCUGAGCCAGUCGAGCUCACACUGCGGUGGUUACUGGGUAGUUUCUCCAUCAGUGCUUUGUGAAGAGGGGUGGGGAGGGGUCUUACUCCAGUUUAAACGCCCUAACACAGCCAACACAGGUGGCGGGUGAAAGCCCACCAUGGGAGGGACGUCAUUCUCAUGCAGGAGAAGUGAUGGCUUCACGUGGGUUUGCAAACAGUCCCUUCAGAGACGGAGCUGAGAGGUGA